UCCUCCUCCUCCUCAUCCUUUGCCGUCGCCCACUCUGCCCCAACCGCCUCCCUCCAUCUUCCCGCCCCCACCUUCGCCGUAGCCCCCCCGCGACCGGCGUCUGCCCCUGCCUCUUCCUUUCCCCUCGUCGUAGCCGUCUUACCCCUUCCUUCCUGCGCCGGCGUUUUCCCUUCUCCUCCCUACGUCGGCGUCUUCUUUCAUUGUAUCAUCCUUUCACCCCCGCAGCGUCUUCUCCCCCCUUCGCUUCGCUGCAGCCGCUUGAUAAGACCCUAAGGUUUUAUCAGGGAAAAAAUUGGGAGAAAAGGGGACGAUCACUUCGAGAUGAUCGGCCUCCUUGAUCACUUCGAGGGGAUCGUCGACGGGAACUUGUCUUCGUGCCCGGCACCCAGUGUGCAGCUGUUUGUUCAACAUUCUAAAGUUUUUGUUUUUCUCAUUUAUCUCUUUUCUCUUAUGCACGCAAAGUGUUCGCUGAAUGGCUUUUAAAGCUUUUCUUUUUGUGGGACGUCGGGACUUGUCCGUUGUUUAUUCUUCGAACUAAUCAACUUUUUCUUAUGCACGCAAGGUGUUCGCUGACCUUUGCGGACACAUAUCACAAGGGCACGUCAUGACUUUGGCAAUCCCAAUUAAGUCCAAGAAGUUGACGCAACGGCGCUUUGCGACUUAGGCAACUCAAGCCAAAUUUGUGUCUUGGCCGCAAGGGUGCCUCACGACUUAGGCAAUUCCAGUUAAGUCCGUGACAAGGCGACGGUGAAGAAGGAGGCAACGAGGGUCACGGUUGGGAUGUGUUGGCCGGGAGCAGUGGCGGUGGCGGUUGCUGGCCGAAGAUGCAAGGCUGACCCUGUUUUGGUCGCCGCGAGGAGGAGAGGUCGAGCGGCUGCGGUUGCGAUUGCGACCCAAGGGGGGGCGGGCGACGGUGGAGAAGGAGGCAGCGAGGUUCACGACUGGGAGGUGGGCGACGGUCAUCGUUGGCCGGGAACUUGCUGUGGUGGAGAGGGGAAAGAGGGAUGCUCUGUUUCUAUCGCACCACAGCAGGAGCCACUGGCGAUGUCGAAGGAUCGCGAGCGGUUGAGGAGAAGGCUGGCAACGGUGGUGGCUCGGGUGGGAGGUGACGGGCGACGGUGGACUCUGGCCGGGGAGCGGGGCUGUGGUGGGAUGGGACAUUGGCAGCGUCGUCUCCUGGCAGCGGUGGUGGCUUGGGUGGGAGGCAACAGGCGAUGGUGGACUCCGGCCGGGAAGCAGGGCGGUGGUGGUAGCGGCGGUGGGGUUGGUUGGAAGUAGGGAAAGUAUGAGCCCUUUCCACCAGCGACAGUGGUGGAGGAGAGGGGAAGCAGGGGUUCUCGGUUGUGCGUGGCUGCGCCCCCUUUUUUUUUUUUUAUGAUAACUACAACGAGGACUCCGAGGAUCGCUGCUCUGAUACCAAAUGAUAAGACCCUAGGGUUUUAUUAUGGAAAAAAAGGGAGAAAAGGGGAUGAUCACUUCGAGGGGAUCGACCUCCUAGGGUUUGUCAAAAGACUUAAUAAUAUUUCAUUGUCUCCGAAAAGAAACGAUUACAUCAUUAUUUAUAGAGUUCCACUUAGAAUCCAUCACGACUUGGACUCUUAAUAAUAAAUAAAUAUUAAAUAAAUUUCUAUCCGAUUCUAACUGAAUUAAACAUACUCAAUAAACAUUAUUCAAAAGUUUAGAAAAUAAAAAGGAUCCUAACAUCGCCCCAGCAACCCAACCGACAUUGACAACCAUUCUAACCCGUACCUCCUCCUCCUCCUCGGAUCCUUCAUCCUUGACCCCCUCCCAACUGACAACAACCCCCUCUUCAUCCUCCUCCUUCUAUGUAAAUUGUUUUAUUAAUAUAGAUUUGAACAAGUAUUAUUUGGUCCUUUAAAUGAUUACCAUGUUUCUUUUUUUGUUUUAGCGAUUAUAUCUAUUAAUCAUGAUAUAUACUUUUAAAAUUUUAAGAAGCAUCUCUCUUCACUUGGGCCAGCGCCUAGCCAAGCACCUAGCAUCUCAGGCGUUUUGACACUUUGGCGUCGUUUAGUGUCUCUCACCCGCGACCACACUGCUAUAGCACAACUUGGUUCACUUGUUUGGUUCCAUUUAAUUAUUCAGACCCAUGCAUGUUGCCACACUUGGUUGAUGUUAGUUUUCAUGCUUGGUCCUUUAUGUGCAUGUUUGAAUUCAUCUGAACCAAAUUGAGCACAUCACAGCUCCACAAAAAAAUCAUUGGAUUUGAGCUGCAUUGGUUAUAUAUGUAUUCUAAAAAUGUUAUGAGAUUCAAGUGAGAUUGUCUUGAUUCAAUUUUAACCUAAACAUGUUUCAGCUGCAUUCCCUCGCAACAAGUUCUAUGCAUAAACUAACCUGUCCAUGAGUCCCUCAUGCAUAAUGUCUGCCUGCAUAUACAUGUUUGAUUGCAUGCCAUUAUCUUAUUGUAUCAAUCUUUUGAUCCUAUUAUUAUUUUUUUUGUUGCUUACCACAUAAGUCGGUUGGUUCUAAAAUGGUUAUGAAUGGCAAAGAAGUUUGUAAUAUGACUUUUGUUUAUCGUUACCUAUUUGUUGCUCAGACAUAAUAAUAUAUGUGCAAUUUAGUUAUCAGAUAGAACCACACACAUGGGAACAUUGCACAUAUUUCUUGUCUGUUUUUGGCUCUUGUGGUAACUUCAUCACAUAAGUGCUGAUUCCGGUGUCUUGCAUUGAACCACAGUAAUGAAUUGCUGGACCUCCUUUCGCAUGUAUUUACUAAUUAUGCAUACAGAAUGCAUUUAUAUAUUUGAUUUUGUGGCUAACGGAUUGUCUAUAUUAAUGGGAUUUGGAGAGGGCAGUUAGGUACUAGAAGCUAUUAGGAGCUGUCACUGUAUCUUCAUGCUAUCCUCUUCACAUCGAAGCUCUCAUUUUUCUUUUUUGUUGUUGUACAUGCCUCUGGAUCGUUCAUCAAUCAAUGUGAUUUUGUAUUUUGCUGUGCUUAGAUUUUAUUUUUCAUUUUUUUCUUCUUUUCAUUUCUUUGCUAUGAGAUGGUAGAUUUGUGCCUUGGCGGUCAUUAUAAACUGUGGUUUCAUUUUACAUUUUGAAACAUUAGUCAUUUUGGCAUCCAAAAUAAUUUUAUGUGACAUUUCAAAUUUCCUAUGACAUCAAUUACUUUGUUUUGUUCUUGAACAUUGGUACAGUGACAUGGUAUAAGUGAUCUUUUAUACAUGCUCAUUUGGUGAUCAUUGUAACUCGUAAAGGAGGUCAUGAAAAUAAUUUUGACUAAUAUUAGUUUAAAUUUACUUUACUUGAUUGUGGCCCAGAUAAUGUAAUCAAAUGUGGUGCUCGGCAUUUGAAAAUUUUCUUAUUAUACAAUAUCUCCAAUGAUGCGUAUUUAGUGACAACUGAAUUAAUUUCUGGCUCUUGGAUAUGAGCUGGUUCAGAACUGACCUUAGAUGGUGAAUUUUUCAAUCUCAGAUGUUCAAUGUUCUGAAAAUGCAUGCAUGUCAUUUACGAGCAUUUACUUUGGAGAAACAGCAAGCAACAACAUGCAAGUUAAAUACUGUUUAUUAAGAUGGACAGCAGGAGAAGUGCUGCUUUUAGAGAUAGAAAAGAGAAUUGGAAAGUUUUUUGACAAAAAAAAAGCUUGGAAAAGAUUGAACAAGAGAUAGCAGAGACUGUAAUUGUGUUACUGGCCAAAGAAAAUUAUAUUCAUUUGUCAAUAGAAUCAUGCAUACGUCUGGUGAUUCCUCAUGUGAAGGAUUUUAUUUAUAAAUAUAUCUGAGAUAGUACUAAUCUGAUUAGGUUUCCCAAAAGAAGCCCUCUAAACAGCAGCUGCUUGCUUUGAUAAAAGUGUUUGGUUCAUCAAACCUCUUAGUUUCCUUAUUAUGCCUACCACCACAAUUUCCUUUUCAAACACACCAAAACAUUUCAACAAUCAUCAAAACCCCAAAUGGUUCAAAGGACUUGACUCUCACUAAAAGUACAAGCUGAGCAAACAAUUAGAAUGUGACUUGAUUUCCAAACCCCAAAGUAGACCCAAAAUUUCAAUGUGUUUGGUUAGGUGUAACCUUACAUCUUUAUGUCGGCAUAGUGUGGUCUCCUCUGCAGGCUGAUAACAACUCUCUUGGCAACUUGAUACAUGUUUGUACCUCAAAAGAUAUUGGUGUUCUUAUAUUUGAAUUACCAUUCCUGUAUUUCUACUAGUAGCAAUAGAAAAAUAUUUGAAUUUUCUUAAUUCAACCACAGAUGUUUUCUUACACAGAAUUCAUUGAUGCAAAGGAUGCAUAUAGCGGAUAUGACUUUUAUUAUUGUUGUGCUUGUUUGCACUUGCUCGUUUUAUUGGCAAAUUCUCACAGAUCUAGGUUAUGUUGGUGAAACUUCUCAGUAAGAAAUAUUUCUUCCUUAUUAAUGACAUCAAGGUAUUUUUAAUACUGUAGCUGAAGCUAUUUGCACGAGCUGUCUUUCUCUAAAAUUAAGUUCCUUUAUCAACAUUGAACCAAAUAAACUAGUAGCCUUUCUUGAUCGAGGCACCUUUCUUACCUCUUGGUUCAUUUUAUGGAAAAUUUGUUGCCUUUCUCAGGUCUUUCAGCUAAGUUGCAAUUUUUUGUCUAGUUGUAUUAACAAUGUCUUUUCUACUUACCAGUCUUUCUAGUUGUAGUAGGAAUUAGUGAUCUCUGAAAGAAAUGGCUAAUGGAAACUGAAUGCAGGUGGGUUAACGUGAGUGGUAGACGAAUGUCCUCUGAUCAGAUGAUUAGUUGAAAGUUUUCAACUUCCUUUUGGUUGGAAGCAGAUACAGAAAAUAUAUUAGUUUGGGUGCCCUUGAUUCGAGGUAGAAGAGGAAGCUGAACAUAGAGCAGGCAGCAAUAAGACUACUUUUCUUGUAUUUUUCUGCAAACAGUACGUGAUACUGCUUCAAAAGAUCAUGUUUUUGGUGCAAAAGAGGCUCUUUCGCUGUCUCCCAAGUAACAAGUCCACUAUCCAUCUUUCCUCCCAUCAACUUUGCAAUCUGUUUAACUUCUCCACUGCUAAAGACCAAAGUUCAGAGCAUAGUUCCAACUUUAUAGUGGUCGACUCCCUUCAUUCAUGUGAACUUUCCUCAGAGAAGGCUGCAAAAAAAGCCAAGUAUCACACCUGUCACAAAAAUUCUUCGAGUCUUUCCAUUGAGUUCUUUAAGCAGAGCGGUUGGAGUGAUGCACAAGUCAUGAAACUUAUCCAGAGGUCACCGCUGUUGCUGCGUACUAAGGUAGAGACUGUCCUGAAGCCCAGAAUGAGAUCUUUGAAGGACAUGGGAUUUUCUGACACUGAAAUAGUUCAGCUGGUUUCUUCAUGUCCAUCUGUACUACUUAUACGUGAUAUCCAACCAAAGAUCAACUUCUGGAGGUCACUACUUUGUUCUAAUGAGAGGUUACUGAAAGCCUCUAGGAGGAACUUGUUUCUACUUACUUCUAGCUUGGCUCGGAAGAUAAAACCUAAUAUAUCUCUCUUAAGGGAAUGUGGCAUCAGUGACAAACUCAUCGCGAAUAUGGUGGUGACAGGGCCAGCCAUUUUGGGUCGAUCAAACAAAUGUAUGAAGGAAGCUAUCAAAUAUGUUGAGGAGUUGGGUGUGCCACGUAACUGUAGAAUGUUCCCUUAUGCACUUAAAAUAGUCGCUGGCAUGAGCCGAUCCAGGUUUGAUGCUACCUUUGCAACCCUGAUGAACUUUGGGUUCUCCCAGUCAGACAUCAUUGAUGUAUUCAGGAAGCAACCAACCGUUUGGGUUUUCUCAAAGAAGAACAUUUGUGACAAGAUGACUUUCCUGAUGAAGGAAGCUGGUUGUGAGCUGACAUAUAUCAUUUCCCAUCCUGCGAUUCUUAUAUACAGCUUGGAGAAGAGGUUGAAACCUCGAUAUGAAAUUCUGAAUUUUCUUGAGCAGAAUAAAUUGCUGGAUAAAGUAAAUGGCCUGAUAACCAUGAUAAUGCUAUCGGAAAAGAAGUUCCGAAAUAAAUUUCUUUUCCUGCUUCGCGAGGAGAAAUAUAUUGCUCUAUAUGAUUCCUAUGUUGCUGCUGUGCAUGGAAAGCGCCAUGUUGUUGUGGAAAAUUAGGAUUGCAAGUGCUUCCUUAGACAAAGUGUGAACCUAUUGCAUACUGACUGUAUUAUUUAAUCAUGUAAAAUUUGUGACAAUUUAAAUUCUCUAAGAGUUACUUCUUACGGUAGAACGUCCAUGUUGAUUUUGAGAUUUCUUUUCUCUUUAUUCUUCGGUACAACAAAAGAUACUGAUUCUUUAAUGCAUAAAUAUAGAGAACCAAGGGGGAGAAGUCAUUAUUUAAGAAAGAAACAAAGGUAACUAAAAUAUUUCAGAUCUGUCGGUUGGUCAGUGUCCACUUCAUUGAGAGCGAGUUAAUUAGGAGAGUAUGAUUUGAAGAUAUCCUCCAACCCUUAUAAAUAUGCAUGUGAUCAACGUGCUCUAUUGUGAGAUUUAUUAUUAUAGUAUCAACUGUCACCUCUCUCUCUGUCUCUCUCUCUCAGCCCGUGACUGCAUGCAUCCCAAUAUUCGUUCUAGUCAUAUCCAGACUCACACAUUAUGAAUUUAAGAGCCAUCGGUCCAACUCAAGCUUGCUUCUUAAUGUUCAAUUUAAUGCACUAAGCAAUAUAUAUGCUUUAAGGUAACAACACUCUCUCGAGUGAAGUGAACGGGCCUCGGCGCCCACCUGAUUCAAAUCAGAGAGGACUAUAUUGGAUCUGAGCCCAACAUAAGUCACUGGAUCUGGUUCGAUGGAACCAAAUGAAGGACUCUCCUCUCUCACACACAACUAUAUCGAUGGCCACGCGUGCAAUGAGAAGACUCGUGGAAACCUAAUCAGCCACCGGCGGCACCGUCUUCCUCUCCAUCGGCGAAUGGCGGCGGCAGCAAUGUCUUCCUCAGCGGGCUCAUCGUUGGUAUCUUUCUCCUCCUCCUCCUCCUCCUUUGCCGUCGCCCACUCUGCCCCAACCGCCUCCCUCCAUCUUCCCGCCCACACAUUCGCCGCCAGCGUCCCCUCUUCUUCGCCUCGUCGUAGCCGUCUUCCCCCUUCCUCCCUGCGCCGGCGUUUUCCCUUCUCCUCCCUACGUCGGCGUCUUCUUUCAUUGUAUCAUCCUUUCACCCCCGCGGCCAGCGUCUUCUCCCCCCUUCGCUUCGCUGCAGCCGCCCCAGCAACCCAACCGACAAAGACAGCCACCUCAACCCACAGCAACCUUCUCCCGUACCUCCUCCUCCCUCUCCUUCUCCUCGGAUCCUUCAUCCUUGCCCCCCUCCCAACUGACAGCAACCCCUUCUUCAUCCUUCUCCUUCUACGUAAAUUGUUUU
This 7278-nucleotide long non-coding RNA is filed under the name Musa acuminata (dwarf banana). Its description in RNAcentral is "long non-coding RNA (MACU_LNC006296)". Lineage: Eukaryota; Viridiplantae; Streptophyta; Magnoliopsida; Zingiberales; Musaceae. The record is from RNAcentral.